UGGCGGACUACACAUGCAAGUCGAGCGGAUGAGUGGAGCUUGCUCCAUGAUUCAGCGGCGGACGGGUGAGUAAUGCCUAGGAAUCUGCCUGGUAGUGGGGGACAACGUUUCGAAAGGAACGCUAAUACCGCAUACGUCCUACGGGAGAAAGCAGGGGACCUUCGGGCCUUGCGCUAUCAGAUGAGCCUAGGUCGGAUUAGCUAGUAGGUGAGGUAAAGGCUCACCUAGGCGACGAUCCGUAACUGGUCUGAGAGGAUGAUCAGUCACACUGGAACUGAUACACGGUCCAGACUCCUACGGGAGGCAGCAUUGGGGAAUAUUGGACAAUUGGAGUAAGCCUGAUCCAGUGCUGCCGAGUGAGUGAAAGAGGUCUGCUGAUUGUAAGGCUUUUAAA
This 394-nucleotide ribosomal RNA is filed under the name Aquipseudomonas alcaligenes. RNAcentral's name for it is "bacterial SSU rRNA". It matches the Rfam family "Bacterial small subunit ribosomal RNA", at positions 40 to 438 of the family's 1533-position model. Lineage: Bacteria; Pseudomonadati; Pseudomonadota; Gammaproteobacteria; Pseudomonadales; Pseudomonadaceae. The record is from RNAcentral.